ACAGAAUCCAUGCCAGGGUAAUUUUUUUUUUACACCAUUAUCCCUUGCACUCACUUCUGUUCCAAUUUUUCCCUCCCACCCUCCACCCCCUCCCCUAGAUGGCAAGCAGUCCUAUAUAUGUUGAAUAUAUCCUAGUAUAUCCUAGAUACAAUGUAUGUGUGCAGAUCCAAACAGUUUUCUUGUUGCACAGGGAGAAUUGGAUUCAGAAGGUAGAAGUAACCCGGGAAGAAAAACAAAAAUGCAAACAGUUUACAUUCAUUUCCCAGUGUUCUUUCUUUGGAUGUAGCUGCUUCUGUCCAUCAUUGAUCAAUUGAAACUGAAUUAGGUCUCUUUGUCAAAGAAAUCCACUUCCAUCAUAUUACAUCUUCAUACAGUAUCGUUGUUGACGUAUAUAAUGAUCUCUUGGUUCUGCUCAUUUCACUUAGCAUCAGUUCAUGUAAUUCUCUCCAAGCUUCUCUGUAUUCAUCUUGCUGGUCAUUUCUUACAGAACAAUAAUAUUCUAUAACAUUCAUAUACCACAAUUUACCCAACCAUUCUCCAAUUGAUGGGCAGCCACUCAGUUUCCAGCUUCUAGCCACUACAAACAGGGCUGCCACAAACAUUUUGGCACAUACAGGUCCCUUUCCCUUCUUUAGUAUCUCCUUGGGGUAUAAGCCCAGUAGAAACACUGCUGGAUCAAAGGGUAUGCACAGUUUGAUAACUUUUUGGGCAUAAUUCCAGAUUGCUCUCCAGAAUGGUUGGAUUCGUUCACAGCUCCAUCAACAAUGUAUCAGUGUCCCAGUUUUCCCACAUCCCCUCCAACAUUCAUCAUUAUUUUUUCCUGUCAUCUUAGCCAAUCUGACAGGUGUGUAGUGGUAUCUCAGAGUUGUCUUAAUUUGCAUUUCUCUGAUCAAUAGUGAUUUGGAACACUCUUUCAUAUGAGUGGUAAUGAUUUUAAUUUCAUCAUCUAAAAAUUGUCUAUUCAUAUCCUUUGACCAUUUAUCAAUUGGAGAAUGGCUUGGUUUCUUAUAAAUUAGUCAGCUCUCUAUAUAUUUUGGAAAUGAGGCCUUUAUCAGAACCUUUAACUGUGAAGAUGUUUUCCCAGUUUGUUGCUUCCCUUCUAAUCUUGUUUACAUUAGUUUUAUUUGUACAGAAGCUUUUUAAUUUGAUGUAAUCAAAAUUUUCUAUUUUGUGAUCAAUAAUGGUCUCUAGUUCGUCUUUAGUCACAAAUGUCUUCCUCUUCCACAAGUCUGAGAGAUAAACUAUCCUAU
RNAcentral lists this long non-coding RNA (1250 nucleotides) under Sarcophilus harrisii (Tasmanian devil). RNAcentral describes it as "lncRNA (ENSSHAG00000026599.1)". Lineage: Eukaryota; Metazoa; Chordata; Mammalia; Dasyuromorphia; Dasyuridae. The record is from RNAcentral.